Molecule: ribosomal RNA, 253 nt
Filed under: uncultured bacterium
Lineage: Bacteria
Description: partial 16S ribosomal RNA
Rfam family: Bacterial small subunit ribosomal RNA
Source: RNAcentral
UACGUAGGGGGCAAGCGUUGUCCGGAUUUAUUGGGCGUAAAGAGCGUGUAGGCGGUUCGGUAGGUCCGUUGUGAAAACUCGAGGCUCAACCUCGAGACGCCGAUGGAAACCAUCGAACUAGAGUCCGGAAGAGGAGAGUGGAAUUCCUGGUGUAGCGGUGAAAUGCGCAGAUAUCAGGAAGAACACCCGUGGCUAAGGCAGCUCUCUAGUACGGUACUGACGCUGAGACGCGAAAGCGUGGGGAGCGAACAGG